GAUGAAGAACGUAGCGAAAUGCGAUAAUUAAUGUGAAUUGCAGAAUUCCGUGAAUCAUCGAGUCUUUGAACGCACAUUGCGCCUCAUGGCAUUCCGUGAGGCAUGCCCAUCUCAGCGUUAGAAAAUAUUCUCAAAUUUUAGUUUUGUGCUAAAAUUUGGAUCAUGUCAAGGAAGCUAUUACUAUUAUUGUGAUCGCUCUUUGGAAAUUGAUAGGUCUUUGAGUUGCUACUCAUAGAACGUGAUGAAUCUUUCUUCGUUCUAUUGUAAUUCACUCUGGUAGUCCUAAAACUUGUAUGCCGUGGCAUAUCUUGUAAUUUGACCUGAGAUUGGGUAGGGAUACCCGCUGAACUUAAGCAUAUCAAUAAGGGAGGA
This 372-nucleotide unclassified non-coding RNA is filed under the name soil metagenome. RNAcentral describes it as "partial contains internal transcribed spacer 2 and large subunit ribosomal RNA". The stretch from base 1 to 120 matches the Rfam family "5.8S ribosomal RNA", at positions 35 to 154 of the family's 154-position model. The record is from RNAcentral.